Mauremys reevesii (Reeves's turtle) is the source of this 428-nucleotide long non-coding RNA. RefSeq lists it as uncharacterized. The transcript is spliced from 3 exons. The record is from RefSeq and is a predicted model, not a curated record. Lineage: Eukaryota; Metazoa; Chordata; Testudines; Geoemydidae.
AGAAUGCUUUUACCUUAAGAGUAAAUGUGCUUGAUUAGAAAGAGCUGUGUGGAUACUUGUAACUGCUGGCAAUAUACUACUCACAGCCCUCAGAGAGAAGCGGGGGUUAUCACAGUGUAAGAUUAUGGCAUCAGUGGCUGAAAAGUCUUCAAUGGAUAGAAGUUCUUCACUGAGAGCUAGCACUAGAAAUUCACAGGAGAAGAGGCUCACUCCUGAUUUACUAUGAUGUAAGAGAAGAAUCUGGCCCUGGCACACAGUCCUGAGAAGAAACAACCUAGAAAUCUACAUAAUAGUGAGGGAAAAUGCUCAUGGCUUUUUUUUUUUUUGCACCCGGAAGCUCAUUUGCAAAGAGAGCUAAAGGCAGAGGAAAAAGUGACCUGUUUCCUCCCCCUCUCCCCAUACUGGGUAUAUUGCACCAUCCUGUGAGA